CUGCUGCCUCCCGUAGGAGUCUGGUCCGUGUCUCAGUACCAGUGCGGGGGACCUUCCUCUCAGAACCCCUAGACAUCGUCGCCUUGGUGGGCCGUUACCCCGCCAACUAGCUAAUGUCACGCAUGCCCAUCCGUCUCCGGAGUCGCCUCCUUUGGCCGAAAGAAGAUGCCUCCCCUCGGCCACAUGCGGUAUUAGGCCGGAUUUCUCCGGGUUAUCCCGCUGAAACGGGCAGGUUGCAUACGCGUUACUCACCCGUGCGCCGGUCGCCGG
RNAcentral lists this ribosomal RNA (270 nucleotides) under uncultured bacterium. RNAcentral describes it as "partial 16S ribosomal RNA". The record is from RNAcentral.